Molecule: long non-coding RNA, 1624 nt
Filed under: Homo sapiens (human)
Lineage: Eukaryota; Metazoa; Chordata; Mammalia; Primates; Hominidae
Description: non-protein coding LINC01389:4
Source: RNAcentral
GCCGGAGGCGGGCCCUUGUCUUCGCCGCCGCUCCUGCACCCUGUGCUCCCUGAAGCCGCCGCCUUCAGAACGCUCAGCCCCUGGAUGUUAAGGCUCACUCGGGCGCCAGCCGCAGCCAGGGAAGUGGCGGCGGUCCCCACCCGUCCUCUCCCCAAGGCGGCGCCCGGGCCACCGGGCCGAAGCGCAGUGGGAGCGCGAGGCUGAGACGCCGGGACCCACGCCGCCCCAGCGCGGCCCGCCGGCGCCCACCCGAGCCCGCACGGCUUCCAGCCCGAGGGGAGACGCAUUCGAGUGAUCACCAGGAGCGAACUUGGCGCCCGCAGCCUUGGGCCUGGGAGAGGUGAGAUUGCGGCGGCGCCCUCUCCUCCCUCCGCUGUCGGGCCCGCCACCCCUCUCCGCGCGGAGAGGCCGGGCAGAGCGCCGGCCGCUGUGGCCGCGUUCCCGGGGCGCGGGCCGGUCUACUGCUCCGAGUUUGCCUGUUCUCCGACCCUCUGGAUCUCGGCAUCCGUUUGUCUCAGUCUCUGUGACUAUCUCACUCUCCGUGAGUCUCUGUGGAAACGGCAUUUGUCUGGAUGUCUGUUCAUGGGUCUGGGAAUCCGCUUAAUUUCUCCCUCCCCUCUCCCUGGCCCCAGUUGCCCUGAGGACUGGACACCCCCCACCUUCCUGGCUCCCAGGGUUCUGGGCCCCACCGACAGGCGGCAGGACCUCCUCCGCCCCCUGCCCGACACCCCCUCAGUGAACCCUGACCUCCACCAAGUGUUGCCUUCAUCUCUCAAAAGUCUUGUGCAACUAAGGUUGGCCCUGUGCCUUGUUUCUCGCUAGCCGGGUUCCUGCCCAUCCUAUUAGACCUCUUUCUCCCCCGGCCUCCCUCCAGGACCCAGAAACAAGCAGCUUCAACACAGAUUGGGCCCAUUUCAGCCUCUGGGGCACGGAAGGGGAGAUGGGCGCUGGACGUGAGCAGGAACUGAGCGGAUGCCUGGGCUGCUGCCCCGACAGCGCCGCACAGUGGCUAAAGCUCGGGCGUGCGAGGCCGGAAUCCCAGCUGCCUCCGCUGUAGCAAGGCUGUGUGACCCUCAUUAGGUGACUUCCCCGCUUCGGAGCCUCAGUUUCCUGGUCUGCAUAGUAGUUAAGAGCAGCGACCUUAAGUCAGGCUCCUGGGGUUCCAAUCCUGCCUUCACUACUUACCCUAUCUGUCACCUUGGGCAAGGUUCUUUGCGCUUUGUUUCUGCCUUUGUAAAAAUGAGGCUAGUAACACCUACCUCAGAACUGAUGUAUAAGUGUAGCCAUAUUCUAGGCCAUUUAGGAAAGGGUACUGAGAACACUUUGCAGUUUCAUCUAACAGCAGCCUCCAAUCUACGGGAUAGCCUGGUGUUAAUCCAACUCUCCCAUUCCACAGAUGGAGCUACAGAGGCCCAGGAUAGGGAGAAAGAACUCACCCAGGCUCCUGCAAAGAAAUAGAACAGAGUUGGGUUGCAACCCUUUUCACAGAAUCCUCAAAAUAGAGUUCUUCAUCCCCCCAAGGUAAGGGCAGAAAAAAAUGGAAGGCAGGUCUGACUACUCAUGUCCUUUGAGAGGAAGUCGCCUGGGCCCCCUCUGGGACCUCUGACCAAGGGGAUCCAUUUAA